This 253-nucleotide ribosomal RNA is filed under the name uncultured bacterium. RNAcentral's name for it is "partial 16S ribosomal RNA". It matches the Rfam family "Bacterial small subunit ribosomal RNA", at positions 524 to 776 of the family's 1533-position model. The record is from RNAcentral.
UACGAAGGGGGCUAGCGUUGCUCGGAAUGACUGGGCGUAAAGGGCGCGUAGGCGGUUUGUACAGUCAGAUGUGAAAUUCCUGGGCUCAACCUGGGGGCUGCAUUUGAUACGUAUGGACUGGAGUGAGGAAGAGGGUCGUGGAAUUCCCAGUGUAGAGGUGAAAUUCGUAGAUAUUGGGAAGAACACCGGUGGCGAAGGCGGCGACCUGGUCCUUUACUGACGCUCAUGCACGAAAGCGUGGGGAGCAAACAGG